AUUUACUGUGGACGUCUAUGUCGGGGAGUCGAUAAUGGAAAGAGAACUGAGCAUCAACGAAGGACUCCAAGACAGAAAGAACUGCGGCGGAGCGGAAUAUAUCGUCGUCGAUUCCUGACAAGAGGCGUGGUGGUGUUCAAGGACUGCUUGCGACUUCGUCGCCAAAGUCCUGUGGGCGAAUUUUCCAGCUUGUCAGUAUGGGUCUCCCUGAAGUUGCUGAUUUAGCCAGCAAUUUCGCCGUGAUGGUCAGAGUUCAAGGCCCCGACCCAAAGGGUUUAAAAAUGCGAAACCAUGCAUUUCAUCAUUACAAUUCUGGCAAAACUAUGCUCUCAGCCUCUGGAACAAUUUACCCGGCUUCCUAUGGAACUGCUGCUGUUGAUAGUGACAGCAAAUUAACACCAUCGGAGUCUUUUUUGGUUUUGACAGUGGCAUCUGUGAUUGAACCAUUUGUAUCACAACCAGAUCGGGAAAGCAUGUCCAAGGUACAGGACAAACCUCGUCUGAUACCAGGUGCUCAAAUUGACAUACUGAUGGGAAAAUCCAUGAUAGAUGGCGACGUGGACGCUUUACCCUGGCUGCCUGCUGAACUAAUAAAGAUGGUUAACAUUCCCCAAUCAUCAGCUGCUGUUCAAUCACUCAUUGAAGCAUCAUGUGGUUCACUGGAAAAUAGUUGGGAAGUUGGUUGGUCUCUAGCCUCUCAUAGCAGUGGUCCUCAGCAUCUGACAGAUGGUUCUCGUGCCCAGGUUAUUCAAUCAUCCUUUCCGAACCGCUGGCCAUUGGUGAGGAUGGAGUCGAGCAACCCAAUCCUCAUGGGGCAAUCAGCUACACGGGUUGCACUGCUGGCAAUUCCGUCAAAAUAUGUUUUGGACUCCCCAAAGUUGCAAAUGUCUAUUCCAAAGAGAGGAGAUCUUCUACUGGCUAUGGGUUCUCCUUUUGGCAUACUGUCACCUCUACAUUUUUUUAACAAUAUUUCAGUGGGUUCAAUUGGCAACAGCUACCCGCCUGGUUCUUUCACAAGAUCUUUGUUGAUGGCUGAUAUUAGGUGUCUUCCUGGCAUGGAAGGUAGCCCAGUUUUUAGUGAUCAAUCUGGAUUUAUAGGUCUUCUGACAAGGCCACUGCGGCAAAAAAUUAGUGGUACUGAAAUUCAGAUGGUGAUUCCCUGGGAAGCCAUUAUAUCGGCUUGCAAUGACUUAGAGGAGCCUGAUGUUGCACAUAAAGAAAACAAUAAUGAUAUUGGAAAGAUGAAUAGUGGAGAAGAGAGUUCGAAAGGUCUUGUGUCUCCUGUAGAGAAGGCAAUAAACUCCAUCUGUCUUAUUACUACUGAUGAUGGAUCGUGGGCAUCUGGUGUUUUGCUCAAUAAACAAGGCUUGGUUCUUACAAAUGCUCAUCUCCUUGAGCCAUGGAGGUUUGGGAAAACAGUUGCAAAUAGUGAUAGAAACGAGACUGGUCAGGAGGCUGCCACACUUGCAAACAUACAUUUGAAACACGAGACAUGUAGUGGCAUUGAAUUGAGUCAGAAUCUUCACCCAAAAAAUGUUAAGGCUGCAGACAACUCGAUGAGCUGUUAUGCACUAACUGGAAGGAGCUCUUCCAGUUUAAACCAUAAAAACAUACGUGUGCGUUUAGAUUUUAUGGAUCCUUGGAUGUGGACUGAUGCUAAAAUGGUUUACAUUUCAAAAGGCCCCUUGGAUGUUGCACUACUGCAGCUUGAAGUUGCUCCCGAUCAACUCUGUCCCAUAGUUGUUGACGUUCAUUGCCCCCCGCCUGGAUCAAAAGCAUUUGUAAUUGGGCAUGGACUGUUUGGACCUCGAUGUGAUUUUCUUCCGUCAGCCUGCCUUGGUGUAAUAGCUAAAGUAAUUGAAACCACCCGAUCCAGCCAAUCAGUCGAACGAUUUCCAGCAAUGCUGGAAACAACUGCAGCAGUCCAUCCGGGAAGUAGUGGUGGUGCUGUUGUCAACUCAGACGGAUGCAUGAUUGGUCUUGUUACAAGCAAUGCUAAGCACGGUGGAGGUACCGUCAUACCACAUCUGAACUUCAGCAUUCCCUGUGCUGCUCUGGAGCCAAUCAUGAAGUUCGCCAAAGACAUGAAGGAUCCAUCCUUCUUAGAAGAACUCGAAAAACCCAACGAAAACCUUUCUUCUGUGUGGGCAUUGAUGCCCCCCCUCUAUCCGAAGCCGGCCCCUUCGCCCCAACUUCCUGCAGAUGGAGACAACAAAGGUCCAAAGGGCUCUCGCUUUGCCAAGUUUUUAGCUGAUAGAAAUGCAUUGCUGAAAUCGAGCAGCGCGGCGACCGGGAAGGAUCAUUUAUCCAGUAAGCUGUGAUUGUCUAUGAAGUCUCUGCCACAGCCAAAUGUAUACUUGAAAGGAACACAAAGAAAGGAAAAAGGUGCUCUGAAGUCUUCUUGUUUCUAGUGCCGCCGCCCUCCUCUGCCUCCAAAGCUCCAGCGCCGCCGUCGACUAUCUUCUCAGACGAGAGAUUCUUGGCCGGGAUCCGUGGUUUGGGGCACUUCCUUGAUACAAUUGGAC
This is an RNA transcript of Andrographis paniculata, 2525 nucleotides long. It is a transcript of the gene named glyoxysomal processing protease, glyoxysomal, with no coding region annotated. The record is from RefSeq and is a predicted model, not a curated record. The transcript has 16 exons. NCBI's taxonomy places the organism in Eukaryota, Viridiplantae, Streptophyta, Magnoliopsida, Lamiales, Acanthaceae.